RNAcentral lists this transfer RNA (88 nucleotides) under Gemmatimonadota bacterium. RNAcentral describes it as "Gemmatimonadetes bacterium tRNA-Ser". It matches the Rfam family "tRNA". Rfam says of the family: Transfer RNA (tRNA) molecules are approximately 80 nucleotides in length. Their secondary structure includes four short double-helical elements and three loops (D, anti-codon, and T loops). The record is from RNAcentral. Lineage: Bacteria; Pseudomonadati; Gemmatimonadota. RNAcentral also lists the same sequence under 3 other names.
GGACAGGUGGCCGAGUGGCUCAAGGCGCGCGCCUGGAGAGCGCGUAGGCGGUAUCCCCGUCUCGUGGGUUCGAAUCCCACCCUGUCCG